This 482-nucleotide ribosomal RNA is filed under the name uncultured bacterium. RNAcentral's name for it is "bacterial SSU rRNA". It matches the Rfam family "Bacterial small subunit ribosomal RNA", at positions 30 to 506 of the family's 1533-position model. The record is from RNAcentral.
UUGAACGCUGGCGGCAUGCUUUACACAUGCAAGUCGAACGGUAACAGGGUGCUUGCACCGCUGACGAGUGGCGAACGGGUGAGUAAUACAUCGGAAUGUACCCAGUCAUGGGGGAUAACGCUUCGAAAGGAGUGCUAAUACCGCAUACGCCCUGAGGGGGAAAGUGGGGGACCGCAAGGCCUCACGUGAUUGGAGCAGCCGAUGGCUGAUUAGCUAGUUGGUAGGGUAAAGGCCUACCAAGGCAACGAUCAGUAGCGGGUCUUAGAGGACGAUCCGCCACACUGGAACUGAGACACGGUCCAGACUCCUACGGGAGGCAGCAGUGGGGAAUCUUGGACAAUGGGCGAAAGCCUGAUCCAGCAAUGCCGCGUGCGUGAAGAAGGCCUUCGGGUUGUAAAGCGCUUUUGUCAGGGAGGAAAUCCUAGUUUCUAAUAAAGACUGGGGAUGACAGUACCUGAAGAAUAAGGACCGGCUAACUACGU